This 253-nucleotide ribosomal RNA is filed under the name uncultured bacterium. Its description in RNAcentral is "partial 16S ribosomal RNA". It matches the Rfam family "Bacterial small subunit ribosomal RNA", at positions 524 to 776 of the family's 1533-position model. The record is from RNAcentral.
UACGGAGGGAGCUAGCGUUGUUCGGAAUUACUGGGCGUAAAGCGCACGUAGGCGGCUACUCAAGUCAGAGGUGAAAGCCCAGGGCUCAACCCUGGAACUGCCUUUGAAACUAGGUAGCUAGAAUCUUGGAGAGGUCAGUGGAAUUCCGAGUGUAGAGGUGAAAUUCGUAGAUAUUCGGAAGAACACCAGUGGCGAAGGCGGCUAUCUGGACGGUUUCUGACGCUAAGACGCGAAAGCGUGGGGAGCAAACAGG